This 253-nucleotide ribosomal RNA is filed under the name uncultured Dongia sp. Its description in RNAcentral is "partial 16S ribosomal RNA". It matches the Rfam family "Bacterial small subunit ribosomal RNA", at positions 524 to 776 of the family's 1533-position model. The record is from RNAcentral. Lineage: Bacteria; Pseudomonadati; Pseudomonadota; Alphaproteobacteria; Rhodospirillales; Dongiaceae.
UACGAAGGGGGCUAGCGUUGUUCGGAAUUACUGGGCGUAAAGGGCGCGUAGGCGGUCUGAUAAGUUAGGUGUGAAAUUCCCGGGCUUAACCUGGGGGCUGCACUUAAUACUGUUGGGCUUGAAUCCGGGAGAGGAUAGCGGAAUUCCCAGUGUAGAGGUGAAAUUCGUAGAUAUUGGGAAGAACACCAGUGGCGAAGGCGGCUAUCUGGACCGGUAUUGACGCUGAGGCGCGAAAGCGUGGGGAGCAAACAGG